This 500-nucleotide ribosomal RNA is filed under the name uncultured bacterium. RNAcentral's name for it is "bacterial SSU rRNA". It matches the Rfam family "Bacterial small subunit ribosomal RNA", at positions 8 to 495 of the family's 1533-position model. The record is from RNAcentral.
AGAGUUUGAUCCUGGCUCAGAUUGAACGCUGGCGGCAGGCCUAACACAUGCAAGUCGAGCGGCAGCGGGAAAGUAGCUUGCUACUUUUGCCGGCGAGCGGCGGACGGGUGAGUAAUGCCUGGGGAUCUGCCCAGUCGAGGGGGAUAACAGUUGGAAACGACUGCUAAUACCGCAUACGCCCUACGGGGGAAAGGAGGGGACCUUCGGGCCUUUCGCGAUUGGAUGAACCCAGGUGGGAUUAGCUAGUUGGUGGGGUAAUGGCUCACCAAGGCGACGAUCCCUAGCUGGUCUGAGAGGAUGAUCAGCCACACUGGAACUGAGACACGGUCCAGACUCCUACGGGAGGCAGCAGUGGGGAAUAUUGCACAAUGGGGGAAACCCUGAUGCAGCCAUGCCGCGUGUGUGAAGAAGGCCUCCGGGUUGUAAAGCACUUUCAGCGAGGAGGAAAGGUUGGCGCCUAAUACGCGUCAACUGUGACGUUACUCGCAGAAGAAGCACCG